RNAcentral lists this ribosomal RNA (380 nucleotides) under uncultured bacterium. RNAcentral's name for it is "bacterial SSU rRNA". It matches the Rfam family "Bacterial small subunit ribosomal RNA", at positions 30 to 410 of the family's 1533-position model. The record is from RNAcentral.
AUUGAACGCUGGCGGCAUGCCUUACACAUGCAAGUCGAACGGCAGCACGGGAGCAAUCCUGGUGGCGAGUGGCGAACGGGUGAGUAAUAUAUCGGAACGUGCCCGGUCGUGGGGGAUAACGUAGCGAAAGCUACGCUAAUACCGCAUACGAUCUACGGAUGAAAGCGGGGGAUCGCAAGACCUCGCGCGAUUGGAGCGGCCGAUAUCAGAUUAGGUAGUUGGUGAGGUAAAGGCUCACCAAGCCGACGAUCUGUAGCUGGUCUGAGAGGACGACCAGCCACACUGGGACUGAGACACGGCCCAGACUCCUACGGGAGGCAGCAGUGGGGAAUUUUGGACAAUGGGCGCAAGCCUGAUCCAGCAAUGCCGCGUGCAGGAUG